UAUCGCGCCGGACACGAUUGCUAUCGGAUUGAGAUUUAACAAUGCGAUUCGGACGCUCUCUGGCUGCAGAGGGCGUGGCAUACGGCUCAGGGGCGGGUAGUCAACCUGCCCUGGAGACGCGGACAAUCGCGGGAAACUGCGGCUAAUACGCGAUAGAUGACCUCCUCUGGAAGGAGAGGUCGUCCAAAGGGCUGCACGGGUAUGCUCCGUGCAUUCGCUCCAGGAUGGGACUGCGGCCGAUCAGGCUGUUGGCGGGGUAAUGGCCCACCAAACCUGUAACCGGUACGGGCUUUGAGAGAAGGAGCCCGGAGAUGGACACUGAUACAAGGGUCCAUGCCCUACGGGGCGCAUCAUGCGCGAAAACUUCGCAAUGCGCUAAACCGUGACGAGGCUUAGUCCGACUGCCUUCCCGCUGAGGGGAGCUUUUCUCGGCUGUAAAUAGGCCCGGGA
Molecule: ribosomal RNA, 450 nt
Filed under: uncultured archaeon
Lineage: Archaea
Description: bacterial SSU rRNA
Rfam family: Archaeal small subunit ribosomal RNA
Source: RNAcentral